CCCUUAGAUGUUCUGGGAUGCACGCGCGUUACACUGAUUCGUUCAACGAGUUUAUGACCUUGCCUGAUGAGGUGGGGGAAUCUUUUCAAAUCGCAUCGUGAUGGGGAUAGAGUAUUGUAACUGUUAGUCUUCAACGAGGAAUUCCUAGUAAGUACGUGUCAUCAGCUCGUACUGAUUAUGUCCCUGCCCUUUGUACACACCGCCCGUCGCUCCUACCGAUUGAGUGCUCAGGUGAAUAGUAUGGACUGCAUCAGUGUUCGGUCUCCGAAUGUUGAAGCGAGAAAUUCUGUGAAUCUUAUUGCUUAGAGGAAGGAGAAGUCGUANCA
Molecule: ribosomal RNA, 326 nt
Filed under: uncultured eukaryote
Lineage: Eukaryota
Description: partial 18S ribosomal RNA
Rfam family: Eukaryotic small subunit ribosomal RNA
Source: RNAcentral